Pelobates cultripes (western spadefoot toad) is the source of this 225-nucleotide non-coding RNA. The record is from the annotation of a GenBank genome assembly. Lineage: Eukaryota; Metazoa; Chordata; Amphibia; Anura; Pelobatidae.
CAUCAUUCUUUUCUGUUUUGUGGCUCUUAAAUUUAGUUUUAGAUUCUUAGAAUCUUAGCUUAUAGUCAUUUGUGUUCUUCAAGUACAUCUUGUGUCCAGAUAUGUUUACCCAACAUAAUGGUGCUAAAUUAAUUCUGUCUAUCUUGGAAGGAUGAGAAGGAGGCAUUAUCAAACUUCUGCUACACCUAUUCAACGUAUGCUGAAUCAAUCUUCACCAGAAUUAAG